Molecule: ribosomal RNA, 465 nt
Filed under: uncultured bacterium
Lineage: Bacteria
Description: partial 16S ribosomal RNA
Rfam family: Bacterial small subunit ribosomal RNA
Source: RNAcentral
GACGAACGCUGGCGGCGUGCUUAACACAUGCAAGUCGAACGGAAAGGCCCCUUCGGGGGUACACGAGUGGCGAACGGGUGAGUAACACGUGAGUAACCUGCCCUUGACUUCGGGAUAUCUUCAGGAAACUGGGGCUAAUACCGGAUAGGAAUCCUUGCUGCAUGGUGGGGGUUGGAAAGCUUCGGCGGUUUUGGAUGGGCUCGCGGCCUAUCAGCUUGUUGGUGGGGUAGUGGCUUACCAAGGCUUUGACGGGUAGCCGGCCUGAGAGGGCGACCGGCCACAUUGGGACUGAGAUACGGCCCAGACUCCUACGGGAGGCAGCAGUGGGGAAUAUUGCACAAUGGGCGGAAGCCUGAUGCAGCAACGCCGCGUGCGGGAUGACGGCCUUCGGGUUGUAAACCGCUUUCAGCAGGGGCGAAGCUUGUGGUGACGGUACCUGCAGAAGAAGCACCGGCUAACUACGUG